CCCUAUGGGUGCCAGGUUCUUGCAAUAACCGACAAUCCACUCUCUCCUACCGGAAGACUUGCCGACAUUGUACUCCCGGUGGAAUAUGAGAGCAUGAGUUUUUUCAACUCGAAUGUAGCGGUUAUGGCCUUGCUGAAUAGUUUAGCUACAGGAGCAUCUUUGAAGAAUCGUUAUAUAGCCCGUGAAAGAGUGAAAAAUUUCAGUGAUAUGGCGUCCGAUUGGGAUAUUUUCUUCAAUGAAAAUUCUAUACAGAGAGAACAGGUGAAAAAAUAAUGCGGUUAAGCGACAGAAUUGACAGGAUGAAGCCUUCCGCUACAUCUCUUAUGGCAGCAAAAGCCCGAGAAAUGAAAAGUCUCGGAAUGGACGUUAUUUCCUUUGCCACGGGAGAGC
RNAcentral lists this ribosomal RNA (390 nucleotides) under uncultured prokaryote. RNAcentral describes it as "partial 16S ribosomal RNA". The record is from RNAcentral.